RNAcentral lists this ribosomal RNA (486 nucleotides) under uncultured bacterium. Its description in RNAcentral is "bacterial SSU rRNA". It matches the Rfam family "Bacterial small subunit ribosomal RNA", at positions 10 to 507 of the family's 1533-position model. The record is from RNAcentral.
AGUUUGAUCCUGGCUCAGGAUGAACGCUAGCGGCAGGCUUAAUACAUGCAAGUCAAGGGGGUAGCAAUACAACCGGCGCACGGGUGAGUAACGCGUACACAACAUACCAUAUACUGGAGUAUAGCUUUGGGAAACUGAAGGUAAUCCUCCAUAACAUUGCGAGAGGGCAUCUGAUUGCAAUUAAAGUUUCGGCGGUAUAUGAUUGGUGUGCGUUUGAUUAGCUAGUUGGUAGGGUAACGGCCUACCAAGGCGACGAUCAAUAGCUGGCGUGAGAGCGCGACCAGCCACACUGGAACUGAGACACGGUCCAGACUCCUACGGGAGGCAGCAGUAGGGAAUAUUGGACAAUGGAGGAAACUCUGAUCCAGCCAUGCCGCGUGAUAGAUGAAGGCCCUCUGGGUUGUAAAUAUCUUUUAUCUGGGAAGAAACACUCCUAUUCUUAGGAACUUGACGGUACCAGAGGAAUAAGCACCGGCUAACUCCGUG